GGCUGGAUAGCUCAGUUGGUAGAGCACUGGUGCGGUAUUCCGGAGAUCGCAGGUUCGAAUCCCGCUCCGGUCA
This is a non-coding RNA of Acanthaster planci (crown-of-thorns starfish), 73 nucleotides long. Lineage: Eukaryota; Metazoa; Echinodermata; Asteroidea; Valvatida; Acanthasteridae. The record is from the annotation of a RefSeq genome assembly.